Long non-coding RNA from Amphiprion ocellaris (clown anemonefish), 2915 nucleotides. RefSeq lists it as uncharacterized. The record is from RefSeq and is a predicted model, not a curated record. The transcript has 3 exons. NCBI's taxonomy places the organism in Eukaryota, Metazoa, Chordata, Actinopteri, Pomacentridae.
GAGGCUAAGCUAGUGGGGGCAAAGUUUCAGUGCAUUCCGUUGAUGUAGACGGCGUGAAAACGGAAACAAGAAGUAUGCCGUCUCACUGUGCUGCAUACAGUUACACACUACGUCGUACGAUUGAGACAAGGAAACUCGGAAUGACUUUUCAUAGGUUUCCCAGAGACGAUGGGUGGAGGAGGAAUUGGAAGUUUGUCGGCUUAGACCUGGUGUCAUUCCAUCAGUGUUAAACUUCCCGGCUCAUCUUGGAAGAGUACGUGCCAGAAAGACCACGACCAAGCAGCCUUGAGAUCUUAGGCAGCGUCUCCCUGAGGUCCCUCUCUAUCUCCCCACACAUCCACCAACCACUGGAACACAUCUCCAAAGUUCUGCUGGGCCAGCUCAGCUUCCCCUCAGAAGAAGUUCCACCACCUGCCAGAUGAAGGAGCCUUUUGAGAGGCAGCUGACAUCGUGAUUGGACUGUACUUUGGUCUGUUCCAAUCCAGCUUCAGCUCCAGAGACGGCAGGCGGGACGAGUCAACGGAGGCCGGAUGGACGAAGGCAUGAAGCUGAGUACAAUCCAGAAAACAACAGAGGAGGAGUGCAGGGCCAGAACAAACAGAGUAGCAUCGUAUGUCUCUUAGAAAACAUCAUAGUAUAGCCUUUGGGAUGAAAAAAUGCCAUCAUAUACAUCGUAGAUUGUACAAAUAACAAGUCAAAGGAAAGAGACAUACAUUGUAGAAUUGUAGUAAUUGUGAGCUGACUGAUUUACUGAUUAUCAGUAUUUUAUUUUGUACUGAUUUACGGUAAUAAAUACAUUUUAAAGUGGUGCUACUUUUGCUCUGAACCCUUAUGUACUUGUGGUUGCUCUGUCUUCUGGAGUGAUUUGAUUGGCUAUACGUCACAAAUAAAACUCCUUUAACUUAACAUCAGUAAACAAAACAAAAAUGCAUCCACAAAGUUUUCUGUUAGAGUUUGUGUUCUUUUAAGUUUAACUGUAAGAUUUUAAAUAAUUUCAUUUACUGCAAAAGGAUAAGCUGCUCCAAAUGUCUCACUAAUAAUCAUUAUCAGCCCUCUAUACUCGACCACAGUUAGUACAGUCCGGUUCCACCUUCUAUAAAUCUGCUUGGAAUCUUCCACUUCCUGUUUGUCAAAGUGGCCUUCUACCUGGACAGGUUUUGUUGGAGCUCAUGCAACAAACAUUUUGGGUAACUGCACUUUAAUACGGAUGGAUGACACUGAAUUAGAGUCCGUUUUAAUGAGACUGAGUUAAGAUGUGUAGCUCUGUCAUUAAAUAGUAAAGUAUGUUUCAGAAAUCACAGAGAAAAGUCAGAAAUGUUUGCUAGGUUAGUGUUCCACAUGUUCUGUGGCCCAGCUAAAGCUGACUCUGUCUGACUUCUGGAUCUCUUGAGUUGCUUGUUGUUAAAAUAUCUUGCUAGAGGUGCUGAAGCUCAGCAAGUCUGAGGUGUUUGUUCAGAAUAAGCUCAUUCUCAAGUUUGAUCUGAACUGUCCUGUUUUGUUUGAACUUUCCCUAAACUUAAGGAGUUAAUGACAGAGCAGCACAUCCAGACUCAGUCUCAUUUAUGUAGAGAUUAAACUUCAAUGUCAUUCAUUGAUGUUCAAAUGCAGUUUUUCAAAUGUUUGUUGCACAUGCUCUCGACCAAAGCAGUCCAGGUGGAAGAUGAUGUGAAGAGAAAGCUCCAGAGGAUGAAUAUCACACAUUUACGUUGGAAAUAAAUGUACUUUAAUUAGACAUUGUCAUGCAAAAGUUGGAUUUCCCUUUAAUGAUGUUUAAAUCUUUGUUGAGUGCUUUGUUGAUGUUGGUUUCUAAAUGUUUUCUGACACUCGGCCCCAAAGAUUAAAACCUUUUACGGCUCACAAGCUGCAACAAUUCAGACAUUAUCAACUAUCUUUCUGACUAAACUAAGAUCAAAAAGUGAAAAACUGCCUGAUUCCUGCAUCAUGAAUGAUGAAUCUGUUUGGUGUUUAUGACAGUAAACUGAAUAUAUUUGGGUUUGACAUUUUAUAAAACAAAACAAAAAUUGAAUUAGUGGAGAAAACAAUGAACAGAUUAAUGGAUAAAGAAAAUGUGUUUUACAACAUAUAUGGCUGAAUUACUCUGUUAUUUCAAGAUACAUACAAAUGUAAUUCAGUUUUAUUGAUAUAAUGCCAAGUACAGGUGAAAUUGUGUCCAGACACUUUAUUUUUAUAUUUUUUGUCAUAUUUAAAAUAUGAUAAAGUAAGAAAUUUAAUCCUCUUGACUAAUCAAAUUUAUUAAAGGAUUUUUAAGAGACUAAUUGACAAGUUAAAUAGCUUUCUUAAUUGAAAGGGGACAGUGGUGGUGGAAUGGUUUUGUCUCUGGACUACUUAUCAGAAGGUCAGAGGUUCAAGCUGUGAUGUGGCCACUGUUGGGCCAUUGAGCAAGGCCCUUAACCCUUCCUCUUCCAGGGGCGCUGUACUGUGGCUGACAUGUUGCUCUGAGUCCCGCAAUUGUGGAGAGAUGUGAAAAUCAGAAUUUGUCCUUGUGGGAUUAAUAAGGGAUAAUAAUAAAUAAAUAAAAUCAAUAAAUAUGAGGUCAAAUAGAAGGAAGAGUUUUAAAUACUGCAGUCACAUGGCGACAAGAAUAAAGUUUGUCAACAAAAAGUAAAUCUGCAGGUGGAUUUCAUGAAAGUCCUAAUAAAUGACAAGAAAGUGUAGUUGAACAUGUGGAUGGAGGUUUAUAAAAGUUGAUCUUCCUUCAUUUCUGUGGAGUGACUCCAUGGAUUUUAUGGAUGGUGGUUAAAGACAUGCUCUUUUAGUUGUCUUCCUUGUAGUCUCUGUAAAAAGUCAGUGUAUCCUGACCGAUUUCAACAUGUCUUCAUGACAACUUGUUCUGCCUCCGACCUUGUGGAAACUCCAGAAGCUCGGGACAACCUGUGGAGACUCGAAGAAUUUGU